This 343-nucleotide long non-coding RNA is filed under the name Eucalyptus grandis. RNAcentral describes it as "long non-coding RNA (EGRA_LNC007232)". Lineage: Eukaryota; Viridiplantae; Streptophyta; Magnoliopsida; Myrtales; Myrtaceae. The record is from RNAcentral.
CCUCACAUUACAUUAAUUAGUCAAUUUCUCUCCUUUUCCAUGUCAUUUCUGACUUGCAGGAGUCUUUUCCUUCCAUUUUUAGGGUUUUCUUUUCCUUCUAUUUUUGGCCAAGGUCAGAGUAAGAGUGGAAUUACUACAACUACACCUUCAGUUGAAAUGCAGUUCUCCACAUCAAUUACUCCAGAAAGUCUGAUCCAUAAGCAGCACACCCUCUUUAGGUACCAAUAGACAACUAGCUAUCCAUGAUUGGCCAAAAUAGUUCACUUUUUUUUUUAAAAAUUUUUUUUUUGACAGGGCCAAAAUAGUUCACUUAAACCUGGAAGAAAUACAUCAGAAUAGAAUG